CAAUAAGAUAAGAGAAGAGAAGAUCAGACUUUAUUCAUCCCACUGUGGAGCCAUUUAAUUGAAAUUAAAGAUCGUAGUAAAAUAUGAAUAUGAUAUGUAAAAAUGAAAAUAUACAGUGAAAACAAUUACAUGUGAAAAAAUCCUAUAAAACAGCCCAGAUUCAGAAAUACUUAAUGCAGUUGUUAGUAUUAUUAUUAUUAUUAUUUACUUAAUUCAAAUAUCUUGUAUUAAGUUAAAAUGCUAAUCCCCUUUAACUAGAAUGAAAUUCAAGCUGCUGGAAAAUUGAAAAAUAAUUUAAUAAGUGAAUUUACAAACAAUGAAACACAGCAGUUUCAGAUCGACUGAAUGUAGUUGAACUGAAAUCACUUCACUGUUAAAUAAAUGAAUGAAAACCAUCUUCUUCCUCUGAUGAAAUUUUGCAUAAAUUACAUCUUAAAUUGCUCAGUUUAUCUGUAAUUUCUCAUUAAGGUAAAGAUGAGUUUUCUGCAAAUGAGAUGAUGUUUCUACAGAAAAAUAUCCUUCACUUUAUGCAG
Sphaeramia orbicularis (orbiculate cardinalfish) is the source of this 533-nucleotide long non-coding RNA. RefSeq lists it as uncharacterized. The transcript has 2 exons. Lineage: Eukaryota; Metazoa; Chordata; Actinopteri; Kurtiformes; Apogonidae. The record is from RefSeq and is a predicted model, not a curated record.